Molecule: ribosomal RNA, 484 nt
Filed under: uncultured bacterium
Lineage: Bacteria
Description: partial 16S ribosomal RNA
Rfam family: Bacterial small subunit ribosomal RNA
Source: RNAcentral
GACGAACGCUGGCGGCGUGCUUAACACAUGCAAGUCGAACGAUGAACCCGGAGCUUGCUCCGGUGGAUUAGUGGCGAACGGGUGAGUAGCACGUGAGUAACCUGCCCUUGACUCUGGGAUAACUGCGGGAAACUGUAGCUAAUACCGGAUACGACCCUCGGCGGCAUCGCCAGGGGGUGGAAAGAAUUUCGGUCAAGGAUGGACUCGCGGCCUAUCAGCUAGUUGGUGAGGUAACGACUCACCAAGGCGACGACGGGUAGCCGGCCUGGGAGGGUGACCGGCCACACUGGGACUGAGACACGGCCCAGACUCCUACGGGAGGCAGCAGUGGGGAAUAUUGCACAAUGGGCGCAAGCCUGAUGCAGCAACGCCGCGUGAGGGAUGACGGCCUUCGGGUUGUAAACCUCUUUUAGCAGGGAAGAAGCGAAAGUGACGGUACCUGCAGAAAAAGCACCGGCUAACUACGUGCCAGCCGCCGCCGUAA